RNAcentral lists this ribosomal RNA (253 nucleotides) under uncultured bacterium. RNAcentral's name for it is "partial 16S ribosomal RNA". It matches the Rfam family "Bacterial small subunit ribosomal RNA", at positions 524 to 776 of the family's 1533-position model. The record is from RNAcentral.
UACGUAGGGUCCGAGCGUUGUCCGGAAUUACUGGGCGUAAAGAGCUCGUAGGUGGUUUGUCGCGUUGUUCGUGAAAACUCACAGCUUAACUGUGGGCGUGCGGGCGAUACGGGCAGACUUGAGUACUGCAGGGGAGACUGGAAUUCCUGGUGUAGCGGUGGAAUGCGCAGAUAUCAGGAGGAACACCAAUAGCGAAGGCAGCUCGCUGGGACGUUACUGACACUGAGGCGCGAAAGCGUGGGGAGCGAACAGG